GUCCCUUCGGGGAUAUCCGAUAAAAUUGGAAUGAUAUAGAGAAGAUUAGCAUGGCCCCUGCGCAAGGAUCACAUGCACAAAUCGAGAAAUGGUCCAUUUUUUU
This 103-nucleotide small nuclear RNA is filed under the name Triticum dicoccoides. Lineage: Eukaryota; Viridiplantae; Streptophyta; Magnoliopsida; Poales; Poaceae. The record is from RNAcentral.